GGUGAAAUUCCAAUCGAACCCGGAGAUAGCUGGUUCUCCCCGAAAUAGCUUUAGGGCUAGCGUCGUCAGGAAGUCGCAUGAAGGUAGAGCACUGAAUAUGUGAUGGCCUCAUCUCGAGGUACUGAGCAUAAUCAAACUCCGAAUGUCAUGAAGACAUGGACGGCAGUCAGACCAUGGGUGAUAAGGUCCAUGGUCAAGAGGGAAACAGCCCAGACCAUCAGCUAAGGUCCCCAAAUACAUGCUAAGUGGAAAAGGAUGUGGAGAUGUACAGACAACCAGGAGGUUGGCUCAGAAGCAGCCAUCCUUGAAAGAGUGCGUAACAGCUCACUGGUCGAAUGACUCUGCGCCGAAAAUUUACCGGGGCUAAGCAUGAUACCGAAGCUAUGGAUUUACGAUGUAAAUGGUAGGGGAGCGUUCCAGACAGCGAAGAAGCGAUACCGUAAGGAGUCGUGGAGCGUGUGGAAGAGAGAAUGCCGGUGUGAGUAGCGGCACGUGGGUGAGAAUCCCACGCACCGAAAACCCAAGGUUUCCAGAGGAAGGUUCGUCCGCUCUGGGUAAGUCGGGACCUAAGGCGAGGCCGAGAGGCGUAGUCGAUGGACAACAGGUAGAGAUUCCUGUACUUACGGUAUGAAUGAUGGAGUGACGGAGAAGGCUAGCGGAUCCUGCUGAUGGAAAUGCAGGUGCAAGCGAGGUAGCCGACAGCCAGGCAAAUCCGGCUGUCGAAAGGCAAAGGCGUGAGGCGUAUGGAAAGCUGCGGCAAGUACAGAAGUCCGUGAAGCCAGCUUCCAAGAAAAGCUUCUAGUGAUAAUCAUACAGUAACCCGUACCGAAAAUGGACACACAUGGGUGAGGAGAGAAUCCUAAGGUGAGCGAGAGAACUAUAGCUAAGGAACUCUGCAAAAUGACUCCGUAACUUAGGGAUAAGGAGUGCUCAUAGAGAUAUGAGCCGCAGUGAAACGGCCCAAGCGACUGUUUACCAAAAACACAGCUCUAUGCUAAGUCGAAAGACGACGUAUAUGGGGUGACGCCUGCCCGGUGCUGGAAGGUUAAGAGGAUGUGUCAGCGCAAGCGAAGCAUUGAAUUGAAGCCCCAGUAAACGGCGGCCGUAACUAUAACGGUCCUAAGGUAGCGAAAUUCCUUGUCAGGUAAGUUCUGACCCGCACGAAAGGCGUAAUGAUUUGGGCACUGUCUCAACAGCCCGCCCGGCGAAAUUGUAGU
This 1217-nucleotide ribosomal RNA is filed under the name human gut metagenome. RNAcentral's name for it is "bacterial LSU rRNA". It matches the Rfam family "Bacterial large subunit ribosomal RNA", at positions 819 to 2048 of the family's 2925-position model. The record is from RNAcentral.